RNAcentral lists this ribosomal RNA (927 nucleotides) under Bacillus subtilis. RNAcentral's name for it is "bacterial SSU rRNA". It matches the Rfam family "Bacterial small subunit ribosomal RNA", at positions 71 to 977 of the family's 1533-position model. Lineage: Bacteria; Bacillati; Bacillota; Bacilli; Caryophanales; Bacillaceae. The record is from RNAcentral.
GAUGGGAGCUUGCUCCCUGAUGUUAGCGGCGGACGGGUGAGUAACACGUGGGUAACCUGCCUGUAAGACUGGGAUAACUCCGGGAAACCGGGGCUAAUACCGGAUGCUUGUUUGAACCGCAUGGUUCAAACAUAAAAGGUGGCUUCGGCUACCACUUACAGAUGGACCCGCGGCGCAUUAGCUAGUUGGUGAGGUAAUGGCUCACCAAGGCAACGAUGCGUAGCCGACCUGAGAGGGUGAUCGGCCACACUGGGACUGAGACACGGCCCAGACUCCUACGGGAGGCAGCAGUAGGGAAUCUUCCGCAAUGGACGAAAGUCUGACGGAGCAACGCCGCGUGAGUGAUGAAGGUUUUCGGAUCGUAAAGCUCUGUUGUUAGGGAAGAACAAGUACCGUUCGAAUAGGGCGGUACCUUGACGGUACCUAACCAGAAAGCCACGGCUAACUACGUGCCAGCAGCCGCGGUAAUACGUAGGUGGCAAGCGUUGUCCGGAAUUAUUGGGCGUAAAGGGCUCGCAGGCGGUUUCUUAAGUCUGAUGUGAAAGCCCCCGGCUCAACCGGGGAGGGUCAUUGGAAACUGGGGAACUUGAGUGCAGAAGAGGAGAGUGGAAUUCCACGUGUAGCGGUGAAAUGCGUAGAGAUGUGGAGGAACACCAGUGGCGAAGGCGACUCUCUGGUCUGUAACUGACGCUGAGGAGCGAAAGCGUGGGGAGCGAACAGGAUUAGAUACCCUGGUAGUCCACGCCGUAAACGAUGAGUGCUAAGUGUUAGGGGGUUUCCGCCCCUUAGUGCUGCAGCUAACGCAUUAAGCACUCCGCCUGGGGAGUACGGUCGCAAGACUGAAACUCAAAGGAAUUGACGGGGGCCCGCACAAGCGGUGGGAGCAUGUGGGUUUAAUUCCGAAGCAACGCGGAAGAACCUUACCAG